AUACGGAGGGUGCAAGCGUUACUCGGAAUCACUGGGCGUAAAGCGCGCGCAGGCGGUCUUUUAAGUUGGAUGUGAAAGCCUACGGCUCAACCGUAGAACUGCAUCCAAAACUAUUAGACUAGAGUGUGGGAGAGGAAGAUGGAAUUAGUUGUGUAGGGGUAAAAUCCGUAGAGAUAACUAGGAAUACCAAAAGCGAAGGCAAUCUUCUGGAACGCUACUGACGCUGAGGCGCGAAAGCGUGGGGAGCAAACAGGAUUAGAAACCCUAGUAGUCC
Molecule: ribosomal RNA, 274 nt
Filed under: uncultured bacterium
Lineage: Bacteria
Description: partial 16S ribosomal RNA
Rfam family: Bacterial small subunit ribosomal RNA
Source: RNAcentral